Molecule: long non-coding RNA, 600 nt
Organism: Eptesicus fuscus (big brown bat)
Lineage: Eukaryota; Metazoa; Chordata; Mammalia; Chiroptera; Vespertilionidae
Exons: 3
Source: RefSeq, a predicted model, not a curated record
UAUUCAGUACUCAAUUAGUUUCUUUGUAAUGUUGCAUGAAGACAUCUUUUCCACAACUGUACUCACCACAAUAAGGAUAAGAUGAAGAUGAGUGAGAGACCAUCAUCAAGGCAAGAAUCUUUUCUUUAGUGGAAACCCAAUGGCUACAGAGUACCACACGCAUUACUUCCUUAACUGACUCUCCACCAGAUGCUUGCAAUUAGAAAAAAGAGGGAUCUAACGCUCAGAAGGAUUGAUAAAUCCACGUCUCUGUCGCCGAGACACUUCUUCCACUGCACAUCCUGCCUCCGGAGAACGAAUUGCGGAUUGAGGGGGGUGGAACUAGUCUAAAGGAAGGGAGGCAUCGUGCUUCAUUCGUAGCCUUUCCGCGUGGAGGUGGGAGGUUUUAGAUUCAGAGACGGUUUGAUGGAAGAGACUCGGGAGAGCACCACGCACUGCUCCCGCAUUUGCUGGUGAGGAAAUGGGCAACCGAACCUGGAGGGUAUAUCAGUGCCGGGGAAGCAGAGCAAAGACGACCCCGGUUAUCCGUAUUUACAAAUUCUGAAAUGUUUUAAAAAGAAAAACAGAGUAAACAUUCAUGUGCCCUCUCUCCAGAAUGAA